CAGGCUGAAACUCGCCUGCACGAAGUUGGAAUUGCUAGUAAUCGCGGAUCAGCAUGCCGCGGUGAAUACGUUCCCGGGUCUUGUACACACCGCCCGUCACACCAUGGGAGCUGGUAACACCCGAAGUCAGUAGUCUAACCGCAAGGAGGACGCUGCCGAAGGUGGGAUUAGCGACUGGGGUGAAGUCGUAACAAGGUAAC
This 200-nucleotide ribosomal RNA is filed under the name uncultured bacterium. Its description in RNAcentral is "partial 16S ribosomal RNA". It matches the Rfam family "Bacterial small subunit ribosomal RNA", at positions 1301 to 1500 of the family's 1533-position model. The record is from RNAcentral.